This 3442-nucleotide long non-coding RNA is filed under the name Anas zonorhyncha (Eastern spot-billed duck). Its description in RNAcentral is "lncRNA (ENSAZOG00000005877.1)". Lineage: Eukaryota; Metazoa; Chordata; Aves; Anseriformes; Anatidae. The record is from RNAcentral.
UCAGGGUAAGGUCAGGUAGUUUGCUUGUUUUAAAUCUUCUUUGUUUUCGGAAAUUGCAACAGUGAGAGAGUGCCAGAAAACAGAUCUUGGGGAAUAUCGGGAUGGUUUAAAUGUGCAAUGGAGGAAGGCAGGAAUUUAUGGCAAGGAAAUAUGUUAUUGGUUAAAAAAAAAAAAAGUGCAUUUCUAGUAAAAUCAGGCUUUGUUUUGGCUUUUCAGAGGGGGAAAGGCUGGUUUUGAGCCUUUUGAGGUUCAGAUCAAGAGUGCUUCUGUACUCCCCACCAGGACUGUCCUGCCCUCCGACUGUGCUGCUGCCCAGGGAGCCCCUGGGAUCUCUCUACCUGGUAGCACCCCGCAGCUUCUCCUCCUGCCUGAGUGAUUUCUCCUGGGUCUGGAUGGGGUUGGAAGCAAUGUGAGCAUCCCCUGUAAAUACGAUCAUGCCUUGGGGUGGCCGGUUUGUUCUGGGAGCGCUGCUGGGUUUGCAGUGUUUGGUUUCUCCACCCCAUGUGCGGAUGGUGGGAGCUUUAUUUGGUGCUGAUUGCUUGGAUUUCCACCUCUCCUGGCAGCGUUCCCAAGCUGUGGUCUUGGUCCAAACCUCUCCAUCCUGCUCGAGGGCCACAUCUGCUUCCCAUUCACCCAGGGGAAAAAAGGACAACUCUUGCUGCACCCAGGAUGCUGGAUGGAGGGAUGAUGGGGUAGGAAGCAAGCAGGAGAAGCCUUCCCUGGGCGCGGGCAGGGCUUUGGAGCACGUCAGUGCUGGCACCCGCUGCUGGAGGAGCUGAGCCAAGGAGGGGAAUGACACAUCCCAGCACAAACAGCCAGGGGAUGACUGCGUGGAGGCGAGGAACGGCAGUGCUUAACCCUUCGGAGAUGGUACACGGCAGGGACCAGCUAUGGGCAGGUUGGGGAAGGUAGGGAGGAGAGCCAGGUACCAAAAAGAGGUGUGUCGGAGCCCAAAUGCAAUAAUUUGGGCACCAAUGCUGGCGAGGGGGGCUGAUUUCCCAUGCUAUUCCUAUACCAUGUGCCCCAUCGGUGCUGUGCAAGCAGCUUCUGGCUUUCACCUUUGGGAAGGAAAAAGGAAAUUUUGGUCCAAAUUCCUGGCAGAGCGUUCUGCUCGCUCUCUGCCUCGCUCCCUUUUUAUGUUACAGUCACGGUGGAGAUUGGCUUGGAAAACUCACAAAAGUAGCCCAGAAGAAUAAACACAACUGCCUGGCAGAGAUAAUCAGUUGCUAAAACAUGCCUACUGCUCUGAUGAGAAAGGAAAUUGGGUUUAAGCUGGAAUUAACCUGACGCCCCCCCUUAUCCCAUCCAUCUAUCGAUCGCUCCCGGCCCUUCUGGACAAAUGGGAUGGGAAGAGGAAAGGAGACUUGUCCUCACCUCAGGGCCCCGAAACCUCAAUUCCCCCCCAAGGCAGCACGAGGUGCCCGUGCCAGCCUCCCUGUGCCUGUGUCUGUCUGACUGAGGGUUCGUCUGCCAUCUCAUUCACCUGCCCAGCUUGGGUCCUUUGGCAGAUUUCUGCUUUUCCUUCCCCUCGUAACGGCGUGGUGGCUCUGCUCUCUGUAAUUCAACACCAGGAAACCUCGCUUUGCCCCCGCUGCCCUUCUCUGCUCGGUUAGAGGAUGGAUUGGGACCACAAUCUUUGCUCAGAAGCAUUUUUGGAGGUGUUUAUUUCAGUUCAAGCCCAAGAGAUGGCACUGCCAACGUGGGGCAUCCCAAGGAAGCCUUGUGCACCUGGAGGUUGUCUGCCCUCUCCAACCUUUGCAGACAGAGAAAAUUUCACAACGGGGCAGCUGUAAGAUGGGCAAUCUUCAUAAUUCUGCGUUUUACUUGUUGCUGGGUAAUUAAUCUGUCACAAUUAAUUGGCGAUCCUUGUUUUCUUUAUGACCGCUGGCCGUGCUCAUCGUUCACGCCUUCGGGCCUGAGCUGGGUGCCCGGAGCUGACACCCAGGUUAUUUUAUGGUGAUUUAUUCUGAUUCGGAGCCCUGAGGAGGCAAAGGUUUGAUCUUUACUUGUCUGGAUCUUUAUCUUUCCCCAGCCCUCGUGGGAUUUCGGGGGUCCUGCUUGGGUGCUGGGGGAUGCUCGGGGUUGCUGCUGUGCACAUCGCACGAGGCCAGCCGGGCUGUGCAGGUGCUGCUGGGUUGCAGGGAGACAAUAAUUCAUGUCUCCAUUGCUGGGUCACAGCUGAAAGUAACAAAUGGCUCCCAAAACUUGUGCAAGUUUCCUUUUAUUAAUAUAUCUGGGGCUCCUCCUUUGCCCGCAGGUGUCUGGGCACAAUUAGGUCAUGCUUUUCCAACCUAGAAAACGUGAGAUUUUCUUCUUGCAAGGAGAAAUGAGAUUCUCUAAAAGCAUCUCUUUCAGAGGGUAACUUUCUCUGCAUGGGUCCAAUCCUGAAGCCCGCUGGGGACCCCUCUCCAUCACCGAUCUCACCUUCCUCCUGCAAAUCUGCCCCGAAAUAGGGAUGGUGGGAGCACCGUGGUGCUCCCACUCACCGCUGCAUCCCCAUCCUGCACGCACCCUGUAAACCAAGAUUAUUUAUUUAAAAAAAAAAAAAGCGACCACGUGCACAGGAGGGGAAAAUAAUCAAGCCGAGGGGAAGGAGGAAAAAAACAACUUGUCCUCGUCUAACAUAAAAGCCCUCCUCCCCUCGAAAGAAAUAAAAGCCAGAGCGAAAUGAAGGUAAAUGCCAGAGGUUUAAGUACCACGCUGCCGGGUGUGUUUUAAAGGUUACCUUUCAGGGGGUUGAGGAGAGGCAGAGAGGGAAGGAGCUGGAGCUCUUCCCGUGGCGAGGGCCACUCCAGCGCUUAAUGGCUUUUUAUAUCCCCGUCUGCUUUCCGUGACAUUAUUAAAAUUGUUUAUUUUUAAUUUUAUUUUUUUUUUCCGCCCCUGCAUCUGGAGGAAGGGGUCGGGCUGGGGAGGGGAGGGCAAGCCGUUGCCGUGGUGAUACCCGGUGUAAAUCUGCAUCGCGGAUUGGGAGGAAAAAGGACGUUUUGGGGUGGGUUUUAGGGGAGCUGUGGGUGGGGGCACAGGCGGGCAGGGGCGCGAUGCCACCUGGGAGGAAUGGCAUUUUCAUCCCUGUCCAGGCUCUUGGGGAUGUCAGAUGGCCUCGCGGGGACAAAUUAGCGCCAGGGCUGGGGAGGCUGUUGGUGCAACAGCCCUGGUGGGGUAUCCAGAGGGGAUGGAGGGCUCCCCCCCAGGGCUCUGGUACCCCGACAGAUGCUGGGGAGAGGGAACUUGUUCAAACUCCUCAGCUCUCACGCCCCAACCCCGUGUUUUGUUGGCAAACAGGUAUUAUGGCUAUUACGUCUAAUAAAAUAAACCUAGUCUUUACUCCAAAGCUGCUCCAGGGGCUCUGGUAACUGCUGCUUUGCUAUUUUUUUUUUUUUUUCUCUCCUAUUUGAUCUGAAAGCCCAGAAUAAAAAUACAGCAGAGACACGUGGAGGAAAGG